RNAcentral lists this ribosomal RNA (505 nucleotides) under uncultured bacterium. RNAcentral describes it as "bacterial SSU rRNA". It matches the Rfam family "Bacterial small subunit ribosomal RNA", at positions 28 to 523 of the family's 1533-position model. The record is from RNAcentral.
GAUGAACGCUAGCGGCAGGCUUAAUACAUGCAAGUCGAGGGGCGAGCAGGGGUGUAGCAAUACACUCGCUGGCGACCGGCAAACGGGUGCGGAACACGUACGCAACUUACCCAUAACUGGGAAUAGCCCGGGGAAACCCGGAUUAAUACCCCGUAACAUAUUGAGAGGGCAUCUUCUUAAUAUUAUAGCUCAGGCGGUUAUGGAUGGGCGUGCGCCUGAUUAGGUAGUUGGCGGGGUAACGGCCCACCAAGCCUACGAUCAGUAACUGGUGUGAGAGCACGACCAGUCACACGGGCACUGAGACACGGGCCCGACUCCUACGGGAGGCAGCAGUAAGGAAUAUUGGUCAAUGGACGCAAGUCUGAACCAGCCAUGCCGCGUGAAGGAUGAAGGUCCUCUGGAUUGUAAACUUCUUUUAUAUGGGACGAAACCCCCGAAUUCUUUCGGGAUUGACGGUAACCAUAGGAAUAAGCACCGGCUAACUCCGUGCCAGCCGCCGCAGUAA